This 640-nucleotide ribosomal RNA is filed under the name Methylorubrum populi. Its description in RNAcentral is "bacterial SSU rRNA". It matches the Rfam family "Bacterial small subunit ribosomal RNA", at positions 892 to 1532 of the family's 1533-position model. Lineage: Bacteria; Pseudomonadati; Pseudomonadota; Alphaproteobacteria; Hyphomicrobiales; Methylobacteriaceae. The record is from RNAcentral.
GGUUAAAACUCAAAGGAAUUGACGGUGGCCCGCACAAGCGGUGGUAUCAUGUGGUUUAAUUCGAAGCAACGCGCAGAACCUUACCAUCCCUUGACAUGGCAUGUUACCUCGAGAGAUCGGGGAUCCUCUUCGGAGGCGUGCACACAGGUGCUGCAUGGCUGUCGUCAGCUCGUGUCGUGAGAUGUUGGGUUAAGUCCCGCAACGAGCGCAACCCACGUCCUUAGUUGCCAUCAUUCAGUUGGGCACUCUAGGGAGACUGCCGGUGAUAAGCCGCGAGGAAGGUGUGGAUGACGUCAAGUCCUCAUGGCCCUUACGGGAUGGGCUACACACGUGCUACAAUGGCGGUGACAGUGGGACGCGAAACCGCGAGGUUGAGCAAAUCCCCAAAAGCCGUCUCAGUUCGGAUUGCACUCUGCAACUCGGGUGCAUGAAGGCGGAAUCGCUAGUAAUCGUGGAUCAGCACGCCACGGUGAAUACGUUCCCGGGCCUUGUACACACCGCCCGUCACACCAUGGGAGUUGGUCUUACCCGACGGCGCUGCGCCAACCGCAAGGGGGCAGGCGACCACGGUAGGGUCAGCGACUGGGGUGAAGUCGUAACAAGGUAGCCGUAGGGGAACCUGCGGCUGGAUCACCUCCUU